Small nucleolar RNA from Rhinopithecus roxellana (golden snub-nosed monkey), 103 nucleotides. RefSeq annotates it as small nucleolar RNA U13. Lineage: Eukaryota; Metazoa; Chordata; Mammalia; Primates; Cercopithecidae. The transcript has a single exon. The record is from RefSeq and is a predicted model, not a curated record.
AGCCUUUGGUAGUUCAUGAGCAUGGUGAUUGGUAUUCACGCAAGUGUGUGAAAUGUGCCACCUUCAAACCUUGUUACAACAUCAACGCAUUACCUGUCUGACA